CCGUACACAAAAGCGCAUGUGCUGUGAGCUCGAUGAGUAGGGCGGGACACGUGGUAUCCUGUCUGAAUAUGGGGGGACCAUCCUCCAAGGCUAAAUACUCCUGACUGACCGAUAGUGAACCAGUACCGUGAGGGAAAGGCGAAAAGAACCCCGGCGAGGGGAGUGAAAAAGAACCUGAAACCGUGUACGUACAAGCAGUGGGAGCACAGGUUUACCUGUGUGACUGCGUACCUUUUGUAUAAUGGGUCAGCGACUUAUAUUCUGUAGCAAGGUUAACCGAAUAGGGGAGCCGGAGGGAAACCGAGUCUUAAUUGGGCGUUAAGUUGCAGGGUAUAGACCCGAAACCCGGUGAUCUAGCCAUGGGCAGGUUGAAGGUUGGGUAACACUAACUGGAGGACCGAACCGACUAAUGUUGAAAAAUUAGCGGAUGACCUGUGGCUGGGGGUGAAAGGCCAAUCAAACCGGGAGAUAGCUGGUUCUCCCCGAAAGCUAUUUAGGUAGCGCCUCGUGAAUUCAUCUCCGGGGGUAGAGCACUGUUUCGGCUAGGGGGCCAUCCCGGCUUACCAACCCGAUGCAAACUGCGAAUACCGGAGAAUGUUAUCACGGGAGACACACGGCGGGUGCUAACGUCCGUCGUGAAGAGGGAAACAACCCAGACCGCCAGCUAAGGUCCCAAAGUCAUGGUUAAGUGGGAAACGAUGUGGGAAGGCCCAGACAGCCAGGAUGUUGGCUUAGAAGCAGCCAUCAUUUAAAGAAAGCGUAAUAGCUCACUGGUCGAGUCGGCCUGCGCGGAAGAUGUAACGGGGCUAAACCAUGCACCGAAGCUGCGGCAGCGAACGUAUCACCCAAGACAACUUUACGGAGUUGACGAUUGACGGAGCGAAGCGACGUCAAAGCGUUCAUUAAAGUCGAGUUGGCUUAGGGAUACGUUCGUUGGGUAGGGGAGCGUUCUGUAAGCCUGUGAAGGUGUGUCGUGAGGCAUGCUGGAGGUAUCAGAAGUGCGAAUGCUGACAUAAGUAACGAUAAAGCGGGUGAAAAGCCCGCUCGCCGGAAGACCAAGGGUUCCUGUCCAACGUUAAUCGGGGCAGGGUGAGUCGACCCCUAAGGCGAGGCCGAAAGGCGUAGUCGAUGGGAAACGGGUUAAUAUUCCCGUACUUGGUGUUACUGCGAAGGGGGGACGGAGAAGGCUAUGUUGGCCGGGCGACGGUUGUCCCGGUUUAAGCGUGUAGGUGUGUGUUCCAGGUAAAUCCGGUUCACUUUAACACUGAGGCGUGACGACGAGGCACUACGGUGCUGAAGCAACAAAUGCCCUGCUUCCAGGAAAAGCCUCUAAGCAUCAGGUAACACGAAAUCGUACCCCAAACCGACACAGGUGGUCAGGUAGAGAAUACCAAGGCGCUUGAGAGAACUCGGGUGAAGGAACUAGGCAAAAUGGUGCCGUAACUUCGGGAGAAGGCACGCUGACACGUAGGUGAAGUGAUUUACUCAUGGAGCUGAAGUCAGUCGAAGAUACCAGCUGGCUGCAACUGUUUAUUAAAAACACAGCACUGUGCAAACACGAAAGUGGACGUAUACGGUGUGACGCCUGCCCGGUGCCGGAAGGUUAAUUGAUGGGGUCAGCGUAAGCGAAGCUCCUGAUCGAAGCCCCGGUAAACGGCGGCCGUAACUAUAACGGUCCUAAGGUAGCGAAAUUCCUUGUCGGGUAAGUUCCGACCUGCACGAAUGGCGUAAUGAUGGCCAGGCUGUCUCCACCCGAGACUCAGUGAAAUUGAACUCGCUGUGAAGAUGCAGUGUACCCGCGGCAAGACGGAAAGACCCCGUGAACCUUUACUAUAGCUUGACACUGAACAUUGAGCCUUGAUGUGUAGGAUAGGUGGGAGGCUUUGAAGUGUGGACGCCAGUCUGCAUGGAGCCGACCUUGAAAUACCACCCUUUAAUGUUUGAUGUUCUAACGUGGACCCGUAAUCCGGGUUGCGGACAGUGUCUGGUGGGUAGUUUGACUGGGGCGGUCUCCUCCUAAAGAGUAACGGAGGAGCACGAAGGUUGGCUAAUCCUGGUCGGACAUCAGGAGGUUAGUGCAAUGGCAUAAGCCAGCUUGACUGCGAGCGUGACGGCGCGAGCAGGUGCGAAAGCAGGUCAUAGUGAUCCGGUGGUUCUGAAUGGAAGGGCCAUCGCUCAACGGAUAAAAGGUACUCCGGGGAUAACAGGCUGAUACCGCCCAAGAGUUCAUAUCGACGGCGGUGUUUGGCACCUCGAUGUCGGCUCAUCACAUCCUGGGGCUGAAGUAGGUCCCAAGGGUAUGGCUGUUCGCCAUUUAAAGUGGUACGCGAGCUGGGUUUAGAACGUCGUGAGACAGUUCGGUCCCUAUCUGCCGUGGGCGCUGGAGAACUGAGGGGGGCUGCUCCUAGUACGAGAGGACCGGAGUGGACGCAUCACUGGUGUUCGGGUUGUCAUGCCAAUGGCACUGCCCGGUAGCUAAAUGCGGAAGAGAUAAGUGCUGAAAGCAUCUAAGCACGAAACUUGCCCCGAGAUGAGUUCUCCCUGAGACUUAGAGUCUCCUGAAGGAACGUUGAAGACGACGACGUUGAUAGGCCGGGUGUGUAAGCGCAGCGAUGCGUUGAGCUAACCGGUACUAAUGAACCGUGAGGCUUAACCUUACA
This 2660-nucleotide ribosomal RNA is filed under the name Salmonella enterica subsp. enterica. RNAcentral describes it as "partial 23S ribosomal RNA". It matches the Rfam family "Bacterial large subunit ribosomal RNA", at positions 373 to 2925 of the family's 2925-position model. Lineage: Bacteria; Pseudomonadati; Pseudomonadota; Gammaproteobacteria; Enterobacterales; Enterobacteriaceae. The record is from RNAcentral.